Non-coding RNA from Populus trichocarpa (black cottonwood), 107 nucleotides. Lineage: Eukaryota; Viridiplantae; Streptophyta; Magnoliopsida; Malpighiales; Salicaceae. The record is from Rfam.
AGGACCCAAUUGUAAUGGAUCCUGUGUCAGGACCCAAUUCGCUUGGGUCCUUCGCCAGGACCCAAUGAUAAUGGGUCCUGCAUUAGGACCCAAUGCUAAUGGGUCCU